Molecule: long non-coding RNA, 2397 nt
Organism: Prunus persica (peach)
Lineage: Eukaryota; Viridiplantae; Streptophyta; Magnoliopsida; Rosales; Rosaceae
Exons: 3
Source: RefSeq, a predicted model, not a curated record
GACCAAACACGUGUUUGGUCGCCAUUUUUUGAAUCGGUGCACAUGGGAAAAUGAAAAAUUAAGGGAGAUGAAAAUAUAUGGUCGCCAAGUUUGCCAGAAUGGUCUCGAAAAGAAAAUUCGCGCCUAAAUAUUUCAUGGGGUUUGCGACCAAUAUAUUUUCGUCGCCAAUAAGAGGUCUUACGAAUUGAAAUUUUAAAAACUACGUCGUUUUUACUGACCUGACUGUUUGGCCACCAAACGGUUUUGUGGAUGACUCUUGAGACUAAUUUUUUUUUUUUUUUUUAAAAUCUCCUUUCCGAACCCUUAACGUCUCCAAUUCACUUCUCUACACCUACUCUCUGCAUAUCGCACACCACCGCUGCUCCUGCUCCGGCAGAACAAUUGUCCACCGACGACGACCAGUCAUAUACAAACUCUCUUCCCCUAUGUUCUUUUGGCAUGAGUUACUUAUUUCCCACUUGCUUCUUCUACUGCCUCUCUUCAGGUUUCAAUUUGAAAUACUUGCUUAAGAGGCUAUAUUCUGUCAAGAGGACCUGCAGUUUGAAGUUUUUGAUUUAGACAAUUCAUGUAUGCUGUUAAAACAUAAAUGGUGCAAAGCCAAUGCCGAGAACAGAAAAAAGAAGCAAUAUGAUCAUAUGGGGGUUAACGUCCAUGUAGAUGUGCACUGAUCAAGCUUGAGCAGUAAGGCCUUUCAGUCUUCUGGUUAGUAGGUUUGCUUUUCCUCGGAUGUUUUCCAAUUAUGAGGUGGUAUGAUACUCUUCCUCUUGGCAUUAUUCUCAUGGCUAUGAAAUUUCAGUUUGCAAUGAAUGGCUAUAUCAAUCUAAAAGAUUAGUUUUGUGUAGAAAUUGAAUGCAAGUAAAUUGUAUUGCAUACCUCUGUGAUGUCUGUGGUUGACUAGUCUGUGUUGCAUAUCUAUACUAAGGCCAGCUCCAUGAACAAACUGUGUACUGGAUUGGGCCCCGAUUUGGGGCCAUAUCUAUUAAAAGUUUAAUUUGAACUUAUUCGGUGGUCAAUAUAAAUAUCUAAUUCCGGGACCAAAUUAGUUUAACUCAAAUAAAAUGGAAAAACAACUUAAAGGUAGAGUAGCUAAACAGCAUCACUUCUCAGUGUUCAUUCCAACCUCAAAAUACCUUUUUAUACAACUUCAGUCCUCAUUCUACAUGAUUUAUUUUGACACAUAGAUUGAGGAUUUACCAGUUCAAACUUGAAAGUAUCUAUACAUAUUACCAUUAUAAAAAUAUUUUUUUAUGGAGCAGUGUUUUAAUUCUAAUUAAGUCUGUUGUUGUUCAAGAGAGUUUUUCUGAUGUUGGUCCUAUGAGCAGGUGUUAAUUUGCUUGGCUGAGUAUGAUGGAGGAGAUAAAAUAAGAGUUCUCCUGUGUUGUGAUGAAUUUCAUAUGGAAUGCAUUGACAAAUAUUCAUUACUUCUGUAAUACUUCUCCCAGUUUACCAAGUGCUUUUGAUGAAUUAUAUUCCUAUAUAUGAUGAUAUCUUAUAUUCUCCAUAUGCUACAGUCUUCAGAUUAGCUGACAUGAAUUAAUUUUCCAAUUUCAUUGCCUCAUUUUUUUUCUUCCAGCUAUUUGCAUUCGACUAGAAAUUUUUCUAAGAAACUAUCAGCCUCUGUCAUAAUUCUUUCAUUGAUUAUAUAUUGUUGUUCUCUCAUUUUUCUGGAGUUAACUUGAUUGAGUUGUCAUGCACUGCCUGAAAUUUUGGAUACCGUGUGAGUUAUAAGUUGCAAAUGAAAUUGAGACAAAAAACAAUGAACUCCAUUUUAUAAGAAAAUUAGUCUGCUUUGAGUUUAAGUUUGUUUUUUCUUGAUACGUAAGUAGGAGAUUUUAAAUUGGGCUUGUUUGUGCUUUUGUGCAUCUGCAUAUAUAGCAAUAAAAGGAAAGUGAUGGUUCCAAUAGAGUAGAUCAAAGGUGUACCACAUUAACACCAAUUAGUCUUUUGUAUUACUCUGUAUAUACAUAUUAUACAAGUACAUAUUUGACAUUGCUUUUUUUGUUUCUUUUGUAGAGGCAGAUGAUGAAUGAGUUUGAGAAGCUGAAGCAACAAUUGGUAGAGUACGAGUUCAUGUCAUGGUCCAUAUCCCACAAGCUUGGUCUCUAGUCUUCAUGUGGAGAAAUAAUGAAUGCAUAGAUUGGGGUUACAAAGGGAAAGAAAAUUCGAAGCCUGGUCUUUAGUUUUUUUUAUUUUUUUUUAAUUUUUAAUUUUAAUUUUAAUUUUAAUUUUUUGGUGAACUUGGACUCUAGUCUUUGAGUGUUAUUCAUUCAUUUAUGCUUCUUGUUUUUGGAUAUAGGGUGCGAAAUUUAUGUGUACCUAAAUUACUAGUAUACUUAUGUGCCUUUGAAUGUUUAAAACUUUAUUUAUAUCAUUUUCAAUUGAUUUUGUUUCCCUAAA